Molecule: ribosomal RNA, 1605 nt
Filed under: Salmonella enterica
Lineage: Bacteria; Pseudomonadati; Pseudomonadota; Gammaproteobacteria; Enterobacterales; Enterobacteriaceae
Also listed under: 1 other name
Description: partial 23S ribosomal RNA
Rfam family: Bacterial large subunit ribosomal RNA
Source: RNAcentral
CUUAUGCGUUGUUGGGUAGGGGAGCGUUCUGUAAGCCUGCGAAGGUGGCCUGUGAGGGUUGCUGGAGGUAUCAGAAGUGCGAAUGCUGACAUAAGUAACGAUAAAGCGGGUGAAAAGCCCGCUCGCCGGAAGACCAAGGGUUCCUGUCCAACGUUAAUCGGGGCAGGGUGAGUCGACCCCUAAGGCGAGGCCGAAAGGCGUAGUCGAUGGGAAACGGGUUAAUAUUCCCGUACUUGGUGUUACUGCGAAGGGGGGACGGAGAAGGCUAUGUUGGCCGGGCGACGGUUGUCCCGGUUUAAGCGUGUAGGCUGGUUUUCCAGGCAAAUCCGGAAAAUCAAGGCUGAGGCGUGAUGACGAGGCACUACGGUGCUGAAGCAACAAAUGCCCUGCUUCCAGGAAAAGCCUCUAAGCAUCAGGUAACAUCAAAUCGUACCCCAAACCGACACAGGUGGUCAGGUAGAGAAUACCAAGGCGCUUGAGAGAACUCGGGUGAAGGAACUAGGCAAAAUGGUGCCGUAACUUCGGGAGAAGGCACGCUGACACGUAGGUGAAGUGAUUUACUCAUGGAGCUGAAGUCAGUCGAAGAUACCAGCUGGCUGCAACUGUUUAUUAAAAACACAGCACUGUGCAAACACGAAAGUGGACGUAUACGGUGUGACGCCUGCCCGGUGCCGGAAGGUUAAUUGAUGGGGUCAGCGCAAGCGAAGCUCCUGAUCGAAGCCCCGGUAAACGGCGGCCGUAACUAUAACGGUCCUAAGGUAGCGAAAUUCCUUGUCGGGUAAGUUCCGACCUGCACGAAUGGCGUAAUGAUGGCCAGGCUGUCUCCACCCGAGACUCAGUGAAAUUGAACUCGCUGUGAAGAUGCAGUGUACCCGCGGCAAGACGGAAAGACCCCGUGAACCUUUACUAUAGCUUGACACUGAACAUUGAGCCUUGAUGUGUAGGAUAGGUGGGAGGCUUUGAAGUGUGGACGCCAGUCUGCAUGGAGCCGACCUUGAAAUACCACCCUUUAAUGUUUGAUGUUCUAACGUGGACCCGUUACCCGGGUUGCGGACAGUGUCUGGUGGGUAGUUUGACUGGGGCGGUCUCCUCCUAAAGAGUAACGGAGGAGCACGAAGGUUGGCUAAUCCUGGUCGGACAUCAGGAGGUUAGUGCAAUGGCAUAAGCCAGCUUGACUGCGAGCGUGACGGCGCGAGCAGGUGCGAAAGCAGGUCAUAGUGAUCCGGUGGUUCUGAAUGGAAGGGCCAUCGCUCAACGGAUAAAAGGUACUCCGGGGAUAACAGGCUGAUACCGCCCAAGAGUUCAUAUCGACGGCGGUGUUUGGCACCUCGAUGUCGGCUCAUCACAUCCUGGGGCUGAAGUAGGUCCCAAGGGUAUGGCUGUUCGCCAUUUAAAGUGGUACGCGAGCUGGGUUUAGAACGUCGUGAGACAGUUCGGUCCCUAUCUGCCGUGGGCGCUGGAGAACUGAGGGGGGCUGCUCCUAGUACGAGAGGACCGGAGUGGACGCAUCACUGGUGUUCGGGUUGUCAUGCCAAUGGCACUGCCCGGUAGCUAAAUGCGGAAGAGAUAAGUGCUGAAAGCAUCUAAGCACGAAACUUGCCCCGA